UAGGGAAUCUUCCGCAAUGGACGCAAGUCUGACGGAGCAACGCCGCGUGAGUGAAGAAGGAUUUCGGUUCGUAAAACUCUGUUGUUAGAGAAGAACAGCGCAUAGAGUAACUGUUAUGCGUGUGACGGUAUCUAACCAGAAAGCCACGGCUAACUACGUGCCAGCAGCCGCGGUAAUACGUAGGUGGCAAGCGUUGUCCGGAUUUAUUGGGCGUAAAGCGAGCGCAGGCGGUCAAUUAAGUCUGAUGUGAAAGCCCCCGGCUCAACCGGGGAGGGUCAUUGGAAACUGGUUGACUUGAGUGCAGAAGAGGAGAGUGGAGUUCCAUGUGUAGCGGUGAAAUGCGUAGAUAUAUGGGAGAACACCAGUGGCGAAGGCGACUCUCUGGUCUGUAACUGACGCUGAGGCUCGAAAGCGUGGGUAGCAAACAGG
This 429-nucleotide ribosomal RNA is filed under the name Bacteroidota bacterium. RNAcentral describes it as "Bacteroidetes bacterium partial 16S ribosomal RNA". It matches the Rfam family "Bacterial small subunit ribosomal RNA", at positions 355 to 776 of the family's 1533-position model. Lineage: Bacteria; Pseudomonadati; Bacteroidota. The record is from RNAcentral.